Hirundo rustica (Barn swallow) is the source of this 1234-nucleotide long non-coding RNA. RefSeq lists it as uncharacterized. The transcript is spliced from 3 exons. The record is from RefSeq and is a predicted model, not a curated record. Lineage: Eukaryota; Metazoa; Chordata; Aves; Passeriformes; Hirundinidae.
UUCAGAGCUGAGUAAAGCACUAGUUAAGUCACUGCAGGUGUGUAGCUUAAUGAUCUGCAGUUGGGUAGCAAGUGUGCACUGAGAGCAGAGAGGGCAUGCUGGGGAAUGUUUCUACCAUGGAGGAGCUGAAGUAAGUGGAUGAAUGUGUGAGGCUGAAGCAGUACUUGACUGAACUGGUGCAUUUUACAACAUCUGAAGCAGCAACAGAACAACUGUAAAAACAUGUAGUGAUGAAACAAGGAAUGUUUGAAUUCUUAAUGAUGAUGAUGACUCAUGAAUUAAACAUCCCUGAGAAGCUUUCACCUCUGUCCCACCAGUGAAAAUCCAGAUAUAUGAUCCAUACCAUGCUGCCUUUCCCCUGUUCACUGAUGGUGUAUAUCCAGUGUGAACACAGUGGCAGAUACUUGGGCAGCUGGGGCUGGUUUCCUUUGAAAGCACAGGUAAAGGGAAAUAUGCAGGAAGAAGACUGAAACUGGGGGCAGGGCCACAGAGCUGCAGAGAGCUGAGAUGUUGCCGUGGCCCUUGGGACAGUCAUGUAUUAAAACAUACGUCCAGCCUCUACUGUAGAAGUUUUGCUGUCAUAGAAAUGUCAGUGAGGAGUGAGAGCCUUUUCCUUGUGUCCAAUAGCAAUAUAGCCCCAGUGCAAAGGCUGUCCAAAAAAUCCCUUUGCUGCCAUAACAUGUUCUGCUUAAGGACUGGAUACAAGCCAUGGGAGCAAAAGAACUUUAUUUUUGUACUUACCUUAGGAGGAAUAGCUGGUAUGGCUGUCGUUUUUAAAUGCAAAAGGCCCAUAGAGAAAGAAUUAGAAACACAUCUCUCGUUUUUGUCCUGGUCUGAUCAUGGCAUGUGGGUGGGUUACAGAUUAAUUAAUGAUUUCAUUUCUUCUAAGACUCAGACUGGCACUCAGAUUAGUUCAGCAUCUUUGCACCAACAUUUAGUGGAGAAGUGGAAUUGUUUCUGUUUGCGUACAGCACAUAAAACUGCUUUGGUACCACAUGAUUGAAAAGUGGCAAGUGUGAUUUCAAUAUAUUAAACAGAUUUUCAGGAGGCUUUGGGAAUUAGCAACCAAUAAAUCUGUAUCAGGAAAACUGUAGGAAGCGGAGUCAAAAGUAGACACAUGAGGCACAUGAAGAAAUAAAGUAUGAUAGUGCAUUAUCAUUGCUUUUCCAGAGGGAUCUCAUCCUGUAGAAAUUUAUUGGAGAUUUCUUUAAGGUAGUUACUAACAUGUGUGAAA